GUGGUAAUGCCGGAUGCUCCAGUUGAUCGCAUGGUCUUCUGGGAAAGCUUUCGCGGUAUGGGAUGGGGUCGCGUCCUAUCAGCUUGACGGCGGGGUAACGGCCCACCGUGGCUUCGACGGGUAGCCGGCCUGAGAGGGCGACCGGCCACAUUGGGACUGAGAUACGGCCCAGACUCCUACGGGAGGCAGCAGUGGGGAAUAUUGCACAAUGGGCGCAAGCCUGAUGCAGCGACGCCGCGUGAGGGAUGGAGGCCUUCGGGUUGUAAACCUCUUUUAUCGGGGAGCAAGCGAGAGUGAGUUUACCCGUUGAAUAAGCACCGGCUAACUACGUGCCAGCAGCCGCGGUAAUACGUAGGGUGCAAGCGUUAUCCGGAAUUAUUGGGCGUAAAGGGCUCGUAGGCGGUUCGUCGCGUCCGGUGUGAAAGUCCAUCGCUUAACGGUGGAUCCGCGCCGGGUACGGGCGGGCUUGAGUGCGGUAGGGGAGACUGGAAUUCCCGGUGUAACGGUGGAAUGUGUAGAUA
Molecule: ribosomal RNA, 521 nt
Filed under: Bifidobacterium longum subsp. infantis
Lineage: Bacteria; Bacillati; Actinomycetota; Actinomycetes; Bifidobacteriales; Bifidobacteriaceae
Also listed under: 2 other names
Description: bacterial SSU rRNA
Rfam family: Bacterial small subunit ribosomal RNA
Source: RNAcentral